Molecule: ribosomal RNA, 426 nt
Filed under: uncultured bacterium
Lineage: Bacteria
Description: bacterial SSU rRNA
Rfam family: Bacterial small subunit ribosomal RNA
Source: RNAcentral
GAAUUUUGCGCAAUGGGCGAAAGCCUGACGCAGCAACGCCGCGUGAGUGAUGAAGGCCUUCGGGUCGUAAAGCUCUGUCAGAAGGGAAGAAAUGUGGGGAUGUUAAUACCAUCUCUACUUGACGGUACCUUCAAAGGAAGCACCGGCUAACUCCGUGCCAGCAGCCGCGGUAAUACGGAGGGUGCAAGCGUUGUUCGGAAUUAUUGGGCGUAAAGCGCGUGUAGGCGGUCUUUUAAGUCGGAUGUGAAAGCCCCGGGCUCAACCUGGGAAGUGCAUUGGAAACUGGGAGACUUGAGUACGGGAGAGGGCAGUGGAAUUCCUAGUGUAGGAGUGAAAUCCGUAGAUAUUAGGAGGAACACCGGUGGCGAAGGCGGCUGCCUGGACCGAUACUGACGCUGAGACGCGAAAGCGUGGGGAGCAAACAGG